CAUUGUGCCUGUGAACAAUUUCUUUUCAAUCCCUCUCAAAGCAAAGGAGGAGAAAGGAUGGUUUGGCUGCAAUUUAUUCUCUUCUUGGCAGCCUUCAAAGGUGCCCAAUCUCAGAUCCAGCUGGUGGAAUCUGGAGGAGAUUUAAGAAAGCCUGGACAGUCCCUCCGCCUAACUUGUCAGGAGUCCGGGUUCACCGGCUACUGGAUGAGCUGGGUGAGACAAGCUCCUGGAAAGGGCCUGGAAUGGGUUGCUUAUAUGCACCCGUCUGACUCAUCCCACAUUUACUACUCUGAUAAAGUCAAGGGGCGAUUCACCACAUCCAGGGACAAUUCAAAGAGCCAGAUGUAUUUGCAAAUGAACAGCCUGAAGCCUGAGGACACUGGGAUGUAUUAUUGUGCAAGAUACACAUUGAGGGGAAGUGAAUCUGAAGUGAGACAAAAACUCUCUUUUGCUUAUACCAGCUUCCAAAGCUGA
Molecule: non-coding RNA, 474 nt
Organism: Elgaria multicarinata webbii
Lineage: Eukaryota; Metazoa; Chordata; Lepidosauria; Squamata; Anguidae
Source: the annotation of a RefSeq genome assembly